GCCUUGAUGAGCUUCAGUAGUCUGUGGUGUAGGCUUCAAACCUAUAGCCUUCUAGCAAGAGAGUCUUUCAAUUCCUCCUUUCAGGUG
Non-coding RNA from Protopterus annectens (West African lungfish), 87 nucleotides. The record is from the annotation of a RefSeq genome assembly. Lineage: Eukaryota; Metazoa; Chordata; Ceratodontiformes; Protopteridae.